Molecule: small nucleolar RNA, 66 nt
Organism: Myxocyprinus asiaticus (Chinese sucker)
Lineage: Eukaryota; Metazoa; Chordata; Actinopteri; Cypriniformes; Catostomidae
Product: small nucleolar RNA SNORD63
Exons: 1
Source: RefSeq, a predicted model, not a curated record
GUGGUGUGAUGAACCUUAACACAUCAUUCUUAAAUGUAAUGUGCAGACAUAAGAUCACUGAUCACA